GGCGGACGGGUGAGUAAUGCCUAGGAAUCUGCCUGAUAGUGGGGGACAACGUUUCGAAAGGAACGCUAAUACCGCAUACGUCCUACGGGAGAAAGCAGGGGACCUUCGGGCCUUGCGCUAUCAGAUGAGCCUAGGUCGGAUUAGCUAGUUGGUGAGGUAACGGCUCACCAAGGCGACGAUCCGUAACUGGUCUGAGAGGAUGAUCAGUCACACUGGAACUGAGACACGGUCCAGACUCCUACGGGAGGCAGCAGUGGGGAAUAUUGGACAAUGGGCGAAAGCCUGAUCCAGCCAUGCCGCGUGUGUGAAGAAGGUCUUCGGAUUGUAAAGCACUUUAAGUUGGGAGGAAGGGCAUUAACCUAAUACGUUAGUGUUUUGACGUUACCGACAGAAUAAGCACCGGCUAACUUCGUGCCAGCAGCCGCGGUAAUACGAAGGGUGCAAGCGUUAAUCGGAAUUACUGGGCGUAAAGCGCGCGUAGGUGGUUUGUUAAGUUGAAUGUGAAAGCCCCGGGCUCAACCUGGGAACUGCAUCCAAAACUGGCAAGCUAGAGUAUGGCAGAGGGUGGUGGAAUUUCCUGUGUAGCGGUGAAAUGCGUAGAUAUAGGAAGGAACACCAGUGGCGAAGGCGACCACCUGUGAUAAUGAUGACAGAAAGGUGGGGGAGCAAAGGGAGCAAACAAGAUUGGUUAUCCUGGUAGUACACGCCGUAAACUAGCCG
RNAcentral lists this ribosomal RNA (720 nucleotides) under uncultured bacterium. RNAcentral describes it as "bacterial SSU rRNA". It matches the Rfam family "Bacterial small subunit ribosomal RNA", at positions 97 to 813 of the family's 1533-position model. The record is from RNAcentral.